UACGGAGGAUCCGAGCGUUAUCCGGAUUUAUUGGGCUUAAAGGGUGCGUAGGCGGUUUGAUAAGUUAGCGGUGAAAUGUCGGGGCUCAACCCCGAAACUGCCUCUAAUACUGUUGGACUAGAGAAUAGUUGCGGUAGGCGGAAUGUAUGGUGUAGCGGUGAAAUGCUUAGAGAUCAUACAGAACACCGAUUGCGAAGGCAGCUUACCAAACUAUAUCUGACGUUGAAGCACGAAAGCGUGGGUAGCAAACAGG
RNAcentral lists this ribosomal RNA (253 nucleotides) under uncultured bacterium. RNAcentral's name for it is "partial 16S ribosomal RNA". It matches the Rfam family "Bacterial small subunit ribosomal RNA", at positions 524 to 776 of the family's 1533-position model. The record is from RNAcentral.